CGGAUUGUAGGCUGCAACUCGCCUACAUGAAGUCGGAAUCGCUAGUAAUCGCGGAUCAGCAUGCCGCGGUGAAUACGUUCCCGGGCCUUGUACACACCGCCCGUCACACCAUGAGAGUUUGUAACACCCAAAGCCGGUGGGGUAACCUUUUGGAGCCAGCCGUCUAAGGUGGGACAGAUGAUUGGGGUGAAGUCGUAACAAGGUAAC
RNAcentral lists this ribosomal RNA (207 nucleotides) under uncultured bacterium. Its description in RNAcentral is "partial 16S ribosomal RNA". It matches the Rfam family "Bacterial small subunit ribosomal RNA", at positions 1294 to 1500 of the family's 1533-position model. The record is from RNAcentral.